Molecule: ribosomal RNA, 253 nt
Filed under: uncultured bacterium
Lineage: Bacteria
Description: partial 16S ribosomal RNA
Rfam family: Bacterial small subunit ribosomal RNA
Source: RNAcentral
UACGUAGGGUGCAAGCGUUAUCCGGAAUUAUUGGGCGUAAAGAGCUCGUAGGCGGUUUGUCACGUCUGCUGUGAAAACUCGGGGCUUAACUCCGGGCCUGCAGUGGGUACGGGCAGACUAGAGUGCGGUAGGGGAGACUGGAAUUCCUGGUGUAGCGGUGAAAUGCGCAGAUAUCAGGAGGAACACCGGUGGCGAAGGCGGGUCUCUGGGCCGUAACUGACGCUGAGGAGCGAAAGCGUGGGGAGCGAACAGG